This 460-nucleotide ribosomal RNA is filed under the name uncultured bacterium. RNAcentral's name for it is "partial 16S ribosomal RNA". It matches the Rfam family "Bacterial small subunit ribosomal RNA", at positions 338 to 795 of the family's 1533-position model. The record is from RNAcentral.
CCUACGGGUGGCAGCAGUGAGGAAUAUUGGUCAAUGGGCGCUAGCCUGAACCAGCCAAGUAGCGUGAAGGAUGACUGCCCUAUGGGUUGUAAACUUCUUUUAUAUGGGAAUAAAGUGCAGUAUGUAUACUGCUUUGCAUGUACCUUAUGAAUAAGGAUCGGCUAACUCCGUGCCAGCAGCCGCGGUAAUACGGAGGAUUCGAGCGUUAUCCGGAUUUAUUGGGUUUAAAGGGAGCGUAGGCGGGUUGUUAAGUCAGUUGUGAAAGUUUGCGGCUCAACGGUAAAAUUGCAGUUGAUACUGGCAGCGUGGAGUAGAGGAGAGGUAGGCGGAAUUCGUGGUGUAGCGGUGAAAUGCUGAGAUAUCACGAAGAAGUCCGAUUGCGAAGGCAGCCUGCUGGACUGUAACUGACGCUGAUGCGCGAAAGUGUGGGUAUCAAACAGGAGUAGAUACCCGUGUAGUC